AGGGGCAGCAUGGUCUUAGCUUGCUAAGGCUGAUGGCGACCGGCGCACGGGUGAGUAACACGUAUCCAACCUGCCGUCUACUCUUGGCCAGCCUUCUGAAAGGAAGAUUAAUCCAGGAUGGGAUCAUGAGUUCACAUGUCCGCAUGAUUAAAGGUAUUUUCCGGUAGACGAUGGGGAUGCGUUCCAUUAGAUAGUAGGCGGGGUAACGGCCCACCUAGUCAACGAUGGAUAGGGGUUCUGAGAGGAAGGUCCCCCACAUUGGAACUGAGACACGGUCCAAACUCCUACGGGAGGCAGCAGUGAGGAAUAUUGGUCAAUGGGCGAUGGCCUGAACCAGCCAAGUAGCGUGAAGGAUGACUGCCCUAUGGGUUGUAAACUUCUUUUAUAAAGGAAUAAAGUCGGGUAUGCAUACCCGUUUGCAUGUACUUUAUGAAUAAGGAUCGGCUAACUCCGUGCCAGCAGCCGCGGUAAUACGGAGGAUCCGAGCGUUAUCCGGAUUUAUUGGGUUUAAAGGGAGCGUAGAUGGAUGUUUAAGUCAGUUGUGAAAGUUUGCGGCUCAACCGUAAAAUUGCAGUUGGUACUGGAUGUCUUGAGUGCAGUUGAGGCAGGCGGAAUUCGUGGUGUAGCGGUGAAAUGCUUAGAUAUCACGAAGAACUCCGAUUGCGAAGGCAGCCUGCUAAGCUGCAACUGACAUUGAGGCUCG
This 703-nucleotide ribosomal RNA is filed under the name uncultured Bacteroidales bacterium. RNAcentral describes it as "bacterial SSU rRNA". It matches the Rfam family "Bacterial small subunit ribosomal RNA", at positions 65 to 755 of the family's 1533-position model. Lineage: Bacteria; Pseudomonadati; Bacteroidota; Bacteroidia; Bacteroidales. The record is from RNAcentral.